Molecule: ribosomal RNA, 227 nt
Filed under: uncultured bacterium
Lineage: Bacteria
Description: partial 16S ribosomal RNA
Rfam family: Bacterial small subunit ribosomal RNA
Source: RNAcentral
UGAGUAACACGUAUCCAACCUGCCGUCUACUCUUGGGCAGCCUUCUGAAAGGAAGAUUAAUACAAGAUGGCAUCAUGAGUCCGCAUGUUCACAUGAUUAAAGGUAUUCCGGUAGACGAUGGGGAUGCGUUCCAUUAGAUAGUAGGCGGGGUAACGGCCCACCAAGACUACGAUGGAUAGGGGUUCUGAGAGGAAGGUCCCCCACAUUGGAACUGAGACACGGUCCAA